CCUACGGGGGGCAGCAGUGAGGAAUAUUGGUCAAUGGACGAGAGUCUGAACCAGCCACGUAGCGUGAAGGAUGACUGCCCUAUGGGUUGUAAACUUCUUUUAUAUGGGAAUAAAAUGUUCCACGUGUGGGAUUUUGUAUGUACCAUAUGAAUAAGGAUCGGCUAACUCCGUGCCAGCAGCCGCGGUAAUACGGAGGAUCCGAGCGUUAUCCGGAUUUAUUGGGUUUAAAGGGAGCGUAGGUGGAUUGUUAAGUCAGUUGUGAAAGUUUGCGGCUCAACCGUAAAAUUGCAGUUGAAACUGGCAGUCUUGAGUACAGUAGAGGUGAGCGGAAUUCGUGGUGUAGCGGUGAAAUGCUUAGAUAUCACGAAGAACUCCGAUUGCGAAGGCAGUUCACUGGACUGCAACUGACACUGAGGCUCGAAAGUGUGGGUAUCAAACAGGAUUAGAUACCCCUGUAGUC
This 460-nucleotide ribosomal RNA is filed under the name uncultured bacterium. Its description in RNAcentral is "partial 16S ribosomal RNA". It matches the Rfam family "Bacterial small subunit ribosomal RNA", at positions 338 to 795 of the family's 1533-position model. The record is from RNAcentral.